This is a long non-coding RNA of Oncorhynchus tshawytscha (Chinook salmon), 1050 nucleotides long. RefSeq lists it as uncharacterized. The record is from RefSeq and is a predicted model, not a curated record. The transcript is spliced from 3 exons. NCBI's taxonomy places the organism in Eukaryota, Metazoa, Chordata, Actinopteri, Salmoniformes, Salmonidae.
GGGGCUGUCCUGACUGCUGGAGCUCUGCUACUCACCAUCUACUGCACUCUGAAGAGGAGAUCCACAGGAGGAAGUGAUACCACUGCAGACACACAGAAUGUGAGAGACUCUCCCAGUGACACAACCCCUCAGAUAGAUGCUGAGCCCUCCGAUUAUGAGAACUGGAGCAAACCACCACAGGACCUGGACAGUGACACAGACCCUCAGAUAGAUGCUGAGCCCUCCGAUUAUGAGAACUGGAGAGAACCACAAAAGAACCUGAACUGAACAGAACCACCACAGAACCUGGACAGUGACACAGACCCUCAGAUAGAUGCUGAGCCCUCCGAUUAUGAGAACUGGAGCAAACCACCACAGGACCUGGACAGUGACACAGACCCUCAGAUAGAUGCUGAGCCCUCCGAUUAUGAGAACCACAAAAGAACCGGGACUGAAGAGAACCACCACAGAACCUGGACCAAAGAGAACCACCAUAGAACAUGGACUGAAGAGAACCAAAACAGUACCUGGACUGAAGAGCAACAGCAUCAAACCAAAGCUAGGCCUCACAAUGCUAUUCUCUUACUAUCAUAAUGCUUUAUAGUCUAGAAGGUUUGAGACACUGAGCUUUAACUUCUGAGUAAGUGCUGGAAUUUAGAUUGUUCUCCUAAUGAUAAAUACAGUAUGUGUCUAGAUGAUCAAUACAGUAUGUGUCUAGAUGAUUAAUACAGUAUGUAUAUAGAUGAUAAAUGAUCAAUACAGUACGUGAAUAGAUUCUCAAUACAGUAUGUAUAUAGAUGAUCAAUACAGUAUGUAUCUAGAUGAUCAAUGGUAUAGAUUGUGCUUCUGCUAUUUUUCUAUAAGAUUUUGCCAUUUCCAGAUUUGAUUACAUUUCACAUAGAAAUAAUUGUAACUCUUUAUUAGCAAAUGAAUAGUGUGAGUCUUGGCGAUAUAGGCUCUGCUCCUUCAGGGUAGCAGUAAACUAUACCAAUCCCCCAGCAGGAACACAGAACCUAACAGGUGGAGGCUGGGGUGGUGGGAGGAGCUACUCUCCUGCUCAUGAUCAGAAAA